Molecule: ribosomal RNA, 449 nt
Filed under: uncultured bacterium
Lineage: Bacteria
Description: bacterial SSU rRNA
Rfam family: Bacterial small subunit ribosomal RNA
Source: RNAcentral
AUUGAACGCUGGCGGCAGGCCUAACACAUGCAAGUCGAGCGGAAACGAGUUAUCUGAACCUUCGGGGUACGGAUAACGGCGUCGAGCGGCGGACGGGUGAGUAAUGCCUAGGAAAUUAGCCCUGAUGUGGGGAGUAACCAUUGGAAACGAUGGCUAAUACCGCAUAAUACCUACGGGUCAAAGAAGGGGGACCGUUCGGGCCUCUCGCGUCAGGAUAUGCCUAGGUGGGAUUAGCUAGUUGGUGAGGUAAUGGCUCACCAAGGCGACGAUCCCUAGCUGGUCUGAGAGGAUGAUCAGCCACACUGGAACUGAGACACGGUCCAGACUCCUACGGGAGGCAGCAGUGGGGAAUAUUGCACAAUGGGCGCAAGCCUGAUGCAGCCAUGCCGCGUGUGUGAAGAAGGCCUUCGGGUUGUAAAAGCACUUUCAGUCGUGAGGAAGGUAGUGUA